UACGGGGGGAGCAAGCGUUGUUCGGAUUUACUGGGCGUAAAGGGCGCGUAGGCGGCCUCCGCAAGUCAGUUGUGAAAUCUCCGAGCUUAACUCGGAAAGGUCAACUGAUACUGCGGGGCUAGAGUGCGGAAGGGGCAACUGGAAUUCUUGGUGUAGCGGUGAAAUGCGUAGAUAUCAAGAGGAACACCUGCGGCGAGGGCGGGUUGCUGGGCCGACACUGACGCUGAGGCGCGAAAGCUAGGGGAGCGAACGGG
Molecule: ribosomal RNA, 254 nt
Filed under: uncultured bacterium
Lineage: Bacteria
Description: partial 16S ribosomal RNA
Rfam family: Bacterial small subunit ribosomal RNA
Source: RNAcentral